This 422-nucleotide long non-coding RNA is filed under the name Malus domestica (apple). RNAcentral's name for it is "long non-coding RNA (MDOM_LNC018721)". The record is from RNAcentral. Lineage: Eukaryota; Viridiplantae; Streptophyta; Magnoliopsida; Rosales; Rosaceae.
GAAGAGGACAACACAAACAACCAAUGCUUAAUCCUUUGUUAAAUGAACAAAGGAACUUACGAAGAUUAGCAUAAAGAAAAGGACACUUUUAGUGUUAUUAGUUCUUCACUUAUAAAUCGUUGUAUGAAGAAAUAAGAGUUGUUUUGAACAACCCUUAGUCAAUGCAAAACACUUAGUGCUUGUUUCUUUGUUACAUGAACAAAGAACUUGAGAAGAAAGCACAAAGGCAUGGACACUUAAUGUGCCAUGACUCUUCACUUACAAUUUGUUGUGUGAAGAAAUAAGAGUUGCCUUGUACAACUUCUUUAAAAAGUUUGUAAUUAUGUUUAGAACAUAAUGGUUGAUUGACAAAAAAUAGUCCAUCAACAUGGACUUAUGAUGAUUUUGAAUCAUUAAGUGUUGAAGUGUUAAAACACUUCUAG